UCAAGAAUAUUCCCCAAUGCGCGAAAGCGUGAGGGAGCGACGCCGCGUGCCAGAAGAAGCCCUUCGGGGUGUAAAUGGCUUUUCUUCGGGACGAACACUGACGGUACCGAAGGAAUAAGAGGUUGCUAACUCUGUGCCAGCAGCAGCGGUAAUACAGAGACCUCAAGCGUUAUCCGGAUUUAUUGGGCGUAAAGCGUCUGUAGGUGGCCUGAUGCAUCUUCCGUUAAAUUCUUUGGCUCAACCAAGGAACCGCGGAAGAGAUGAUCAGGCUCGAGGCCGGGAGAGGCAAGUGGAAUUGUCGGUGUAGCGGUAAAAUGCGUUAAUAUCGACAAGAACACUCAAGGCGAAGGCAUCUUGCUAGAACGGCCCUGACACUGAGAGACGAAAGCGUGGGUAGCGAAAGGG
RNAcentral lists this ribosomal RNA (405 nucleotides) under uncultured bacterium. Its description in RNAcentral is "partial 16S ribosomal RNA". It matches the Rfam family "Bacterial small subunit ribosomal RNA", at positions 355 to 776 of the family's 1533-position model. The record is from RNAcentral.